AUACCUCGGAAAAAGAAAAGAAAAGAAAAAUAAAAGAAAGACGUCGAUAGUUUCCGAUCUUUCUCACUUUCUCUCCUCUUUCGAUGUUUGAUCUCACUCAUCUUUGAACAACUGGAAAUUUCAAUCACUCGAAUUUUCUAGCUCGAAUUGGAUAAAAAGAUGUCAGUUCCUCGAUCUAUGGAUAAAUCAAGUGCUCUUGAAUACAUUAACCAGAUGUUUCCUACAGAGGCAUCGUUAUCUGGAGUUGAGCCUCUAAUGCAAAAGAUUCAUGGUGAAAUCCGUCGAGUGGAUGCUUCCAUACUGGGAGCUGUUCGACAGCAGAGUAAUUCAGGUACCAAGGCCAAAGAAGAUCUUGCUGCUGCUACGCGUGCAGUGGAGGAACUCAUGUACAAGAUACGGGAGAUAAAAAAUAAGGCUGAACAAAGUGAGACAAUGGUUCAGGAGAUUUGUCGUGACAUAAAGAAGCUCGAUUUUGCAAAGAAGCACAUAACAACUACUAUUACAGCACUUCAUCGUCUUACCAUGUUAGUAUCUGCUGUUGAGCAACUUCAAGUGAUGGCUUCAAAAAGACAAUAUAAGGAGGCAGCUGCUCAAUUGGAGGCAGUAAAUCAGUUAUGCAGUCAUUUUGAAGCCUAUAGGGAUGUCCCUAAAAUAACAGAAUUGCGAGAGAAGUUCAAGAAUAUUAAACAAAUCUUGAAGUCUCAUGUUUUUUCUGACUUCUCAAGCCUGGGUACUGGGAAAGAGACAGAAGAAACUAAUUUACUGCAGCAGCUAUCAGAUGCUUGUUUGGUGGUUGAUGCAUUGGAGCCUUCUGUACGAGAAGAACUUGUUAAAAUAUUCUGCAACAGGGAACUUACUUCCUAUAGACAAAUUUUCGAAGGAGCUGAACUUGCAAAGUUGGAUAAAACGGAAAGGAGAUAUGCUUGGAUCAAGCGUCGGUUGAGAACAAAUGAGGAGAUAUGGAAAAUUUUCCCUUCUUCAUGGCAUGUCCCUUAUUUAUUAUGCAUUCAAUUCUGCAAGCUCACGAGAACACAACUUGAGGAAAUACUUGAUAACAUGAAGGAGAAACCAGAUGUGGGGACACUGCUGCUGGCGCUUCAGCGAACUUUGGAGUUUGAAGAAGAACUGGCAGAGAAAUUUGGAGGAAGUUCACCAGCUAAAGAGACUAAUCAUGACACUGAUGACACAGAAAGAGGGCCCAAUUUCAGUCAAGCUGUAUCAGACAUCAAAAAGAAAUAUGAAAAGAAGCUCGCUGCUAAUCAAGGCAGUGGAACUGAUGAAACCGACGGUCUUAAAGAAUUUUCUGUGCCUGGAGCUGGGUUCAAUUUCCGUGGAAUCAUCUCAUCUUGCUUUGAACCUCAUCUAAACGUGUAUGUAGAAUUGGAAGAAAAAACACUGAUGGAUCAUCUGGAGAAACUUGUUCAGGAAGAAACUUGGGAUACCGAAGAAGGAAGCCAGACUAAUAUCUUAUCCAGUAGCAUGCAGGUCUUUCUGAUAAUCAGACGGAGCUUGAAGAGAUGCAGUGCUUUGACAAAGAACCAGACAUUAUUUAAUCUGUUUAAGGUGUUUCAAAAAAUUCUUAAAGCAUAUGCAACUAAGUUGUUUGCCAGACUGCCAAAGGGCGGGACAGGAAUUGUGGCUGCGGCCACUGGAACAGAUGGACAGAUUAAGACAUCUGAAAAAGAUGAAAGGAUGAUCUGCUAUAUUGUGAACACUGCUGAAUACUGUCAUAAAACGUCAGGUGAAUUGGCUGAAAAUAUAGCUAAGGUUAUUGAACCCGUAUUUGCAGAUAAAGUUGAUAUGUCAGAAGUACAGGAUGAAUAUUCAGCAGUAAUUACAAAAUCAUUGAUAACACUGGUGCAAGGUUUGGAAACUAAAUUUGAUAUUGAAAUGGCUGCUAUGACGCGUGUUUUAUGGGCAACUCUUGAAAGUGUUGGCGACCAAUCAGAGUAUGUAAAUGGAAUAAAUACAAUAAUUACAAGCAGUAUACCUAUACUUGGGACACUUCUGUCCCCAAUUUACUUCCAGUUUUUCUUGGACAAGCUUGCUUCUUCACUUGGUCCCCGUUUCUACCAGAACAUUUUUAAAUGCAAGCAGAUAUCAGAAACUGGAGCCCAGCAGAUGCUCUUGGAUACUCAAGCUGUGAAAACAAUUCUUUUGGAGGUUCCUUCUCUUGCUAAACAAACAUCUGGUGCUGCUAACUACUCCAAAUACGUUAGCCGUGAGAUGAGUAAAGCAGAGGCUCUUUUGAAGGUUAUAUUGUCUCCUUUAGAUUCCGUAGCAGAUACUUAUCGUGCUUUAUUACCGGAAGGAACUACGUCAGAAUUUCAGCGAAUCCUGGAGCUCAAGGGUCUUAAAAAAGCUGACCAGCAAACCAUACUAGAUGAUUUUAACAAACAUGGUCCAAGCAUCAAGCAUCCAUCAAUGGCCUCUGCUGUUACAAUUGCCCCUGCUCUACCUGCAGUGCCAGCUAUAAGCAGUCCUGCUACAUCAGCUGUUGCUGCUUCUCGAGAGGAUGUGCUUGCAAGAGCUGCUGCAUUGGGUCGAGGAGCAGCCACUACUGGUUUCAAGAGAUUCCUUGCACUAACUGAAGCAGCUAAGGACAGAAAGGAUGGGCCUUUCAGAAAACUCUUUAAUCCAUGAGGAUCUUAUUAUUGGUUGUGCAAAAGGAAAGUCAUUUUUUGUCUCAGUUGUCUGUCCAUCCUUCUCACUAAUCAACUUAUACGACCUCAUCUCUUUUCCAUUUUUGCCUGGAGGAACUCUAAGAAACCAUCUUUAUUAGCUUGCGGUUGGAGAGGAAUGUUGAUAAUGUAUAUGCGGUACUUGUUGAAUGUGGGUUGUUGAUCAAUUUUGUGUCCCAGCUGGUUUCUGUGGGUAUUUGUUGGUAAAAUGCGCUGUUAUCUCUCUCUUAUAAGCUGAAGAUGCUGAGUAACUGAUUACAAUGUCCAGAACGAGUUGCUCUAUAAAAAGGUAAUAAUUCACCCCUUGAAUAUAAGGAGUCUCAAAAGUUUUAAAAACAUUUGUAGUAAAAGAAAGUAUAUAAAAAAACUUUAAACGAACUAACCGAUUAUAAUUGUUAAAUCACCACGCGUUCCCUUCUCACUUCAGAUUAUUAUUUUAGGAUGUUACUUUAUCUGUAAUUCAAUGUUAUCCUAAUGUUGUUUCUUUCAUAUAUUGCGAGUUAUUGCUUGUAUUACACGGGCCAAAAAACUAGUUACUUUAUCUUUGUGAGGUUAUUCAUUCUAAAUAGUUACAUUAGUUUAACUAGUUAUACUCUUUCCCAAAAAAAAAAAAAAAAAUUAACUAGUUAUACCAUGCUCUAAACUUAGCUUCAUUCCUAAACUCUGUCUUUGUUUUUAUUUUACUAUUAUAUUGGUGGUUAAAUUCGUAAAAACUUUCCAAACAUUCAUUCAUAUUCACUAAGUGAAACUACACAGUCACAUACUUAUUAAAACCCAACCCUAGCUAAAUUUGUGAACACAUUCAUAGUCCAAUUUGGUCAAAGAAACUAAAAAGAAGUUCCAAACUAAACUCGAAGUGUUGAAAAAAAAAAAACCUACUACUUUACCUUUAUUGGCUCAAUGAAAAUCGAUAAGUUCAAAAUCCUGCAUCGAAGAACAUUUCCAUGGAAUUAUCAUCAUCAAAUCCUUCUUUUCUUUCAAUGAUCUUCAAUGCAUGCUGCCAACAAUUGAUAG
RNA transcript from Chenopodium quinoa (quinoa), 3695 nucleotides. It is a transcript of the gene named vacuolar protein sorting-associated protein 53 A-like, with no coding region annotated. The transcript has 26 exons. Lineage: Eukaryota; Viridiplantae; Streptophyta; Magnoliopsida; Caryophyllales; Amaranthaceae. The record is from RefSeq and is a predicted model, not a curated record.